GACGAACGCUGGCGGCGUGCUUAACACAUGCAAGUCGAACGGUAAGGCCCUUCGGGGUACACGAGUGGCGAACGGGUGAGUAACACGUGGGUGAUCUGCCCUGCACUUUGGGAUAAGCCUGGGAAACUGGGUCUAAUACCGGAUAGGACCACUGCCUGCAUGGGUGGUGGUGGAAAGCUUUUGCGGUGUGGGAUGGGCCCGCGGCCUAUCAGCUUGUUGGUGGGGUGAUGGCCUACCAAGGCGACGACGGGUAGCCGGCCUGAGAGGGUGACCGGCCACACUGGGACUGAGAUACGGCCUAGACUCCUACGGGAGGCAGCAGUGGGGAAUAUUGCACAAUGGGCGCAAGCCUGAUGCAGCGACGCCGCGUGAGGGAUGACGGCCUUCGGGUUGUAAACCUCUUUCAGCACCGACGAAGCGCAAGUGACGGUGCCUACAGAAGAAGGACCGGCCAACUACGUGCCAGCCGCCGCCGUAA
This 478-nucleotide ribosomal RNA is filed under the name uncultured bacterium. RNAcentral describes it as "partial 16S ribosomal RNA". It matches the Rfam family "Bacterial small subunit ribosomal RNA", at positions 28 to 523 of the family's 1533-position model. The record is from RNAcentral.